This 5461-nucleotide long non-coding RNA is filed under the name Equus asinus (donkey). Its description in RNAcentral is "lncRNA (ENSEASG00005030471.1)". Lineage: Eukaryota; Metazoa; Chordata; Mammalia; Perissodactyla; Equidae. The record is from RNAcentral.
AAGACAUCGUGUCUAUUUGAUUCAGUCUGCUUUUCUCUAUAGACUGUCAUUAAUCCCUUCACGUUUUCAUUUCUCCAUGGCACAUGCCAGGAGCGAACUUCUCACCCCUCUGAAGUUGGGUGUGGCCACGUGAGUUGCCUUGGCCAAUGAAAUGUGAAUAGGUGAGAACUAUUUUACUUCUGUGCUGAAGCUUUCAGAACCCGCACGAGAGUCAGUGUCCUCUCUCCCUCUAACCCACAAAGUGGAGGUUCCAAGAGCGCGGGUCCCAUGGGGGGGUGUCAGGGAGUGCAGUGUCCAGCAAUAUCGUGCUAGACUUGAGGUGGGAAUAGACUUGGGUGAGAUCUGGGAUGGUUGUUAACACAGCGUUGCUUAGUCUUUCCCGACUGGUGCAUUCAUAGAGUUAAAAAAGCUGUAACACUUUGUUUAAAAAAAAAUUUUUUUUAAUUGCAGUAGCAUUGGUUUAUAACAUUGUAUAAAUUUCAGGUGUACAUCGUAAUAUACUUCAAAUUCUGUGUAGAUUACUUCAUGUUCACCACCCCAGACCACUUUGUGUUUAAACCACGAUAGUUUAAUUCAGUUCCUAUUAGGCAUCUCCAUUCUAAAUUUUUCUCUUAGCAAGUUUUGUAAAUUUCAUGCAGGAAUAGCAAAUUAAUUGGCUAAUUAGACAUAAAAUGUAUAUAGUUCUCAUUAAAACAGGUUUUAUAUUUAGGCUAACUAAACUGUAACUCCUGAUAGGCCUCUUUGAUAUGAGACAAACAGACAUAUUCAAUGUUUCUCAACAUUCUCUGUGUGUUUGAAAAUGCUGCUUUGAUAUGGAGACGAUGUGGGAGUGAAGUUCUGGCGCCUUGUCUGUGCAGCAUCUCCCUCUUGCCAGGGAGUCUCUUUACUGGGACUACAUCCUGGCCACAGGGCCAGAUUAGCAGGAGCAGUGUGUGUGGGAGAGUAAGCGUGGGACAUCAGAGAGGCAAACAGUCACCAAAGUUAGCCAGUACAGGCAGAACUAGGGAAUAAUACGUCACUUCUUUGAGCUUCAUUUUUCUCAUCUGUAAAAUAGAAAUAAUAUACUUAUUUAGAGAGGUUAUAAGGUUUGCAGCCUACUACCUGGCAUUUAUGGAACAGUUGGUAUAUUAUAAUUUCUUUUGUACAUUUAAAAAAUUUUUCUACCUGCUAUAUUAUAAACGUGUUUACUAUUCAUUAUCUAAUGGAAAUCACAGACCUACUAAAAGAUGUAAAUCUAUCAAUUGCUUUAUUUCCUCAAACGUGAUGAGCAUAGCUUUUUUUACUUACGAAGUUUCAAACCUUCACUCUGUGUUUUUCUUUUAUAACUUCCUUAGACUGCAGGUGUACUAGAUUUGGUAAUACUACUUCUCUAUCAUUUAAGUCGCUUCAUGGUGCGAGCAAAAGAAAACUAACUUAAUAAAAGGAUCUGAUCCAGGCUAAUGCAAGUGGAAAGUUCUGAGCGGGGCUGGCUUUGCCUGAGGCUUAAACCAGGCUGACCUGUCACCAAGAGCUCUCCACCUUCACCAGGCAUCUGUGCAGCUAUCCAUGUCAAACAUGACUCAGAGGAAACCUUGCUCUGAAGGUCACCCUUAGAAUCAGAAAAUUAGUUCUUAAUGAGACCCAUGGAAGCUCCUAACUGGAAAUGAGGGAUGUUUGCGUUGUUGGCGAGACGGCACCCUCACUACUGAGAGCUGAGGUGGCCCUGCUGAUUGAACAGUAAUGACUGUUCCAUUGUUAUGUUUCCUUUUGUUAAAGAUGAGCAGAUUAAAACUAAACACGAUGAAGGCAAUAACAUAUCAAUUUGUACUGGGAAAUUCCAAUUCUACAUAAUGCUUAAGUAUACUUUAAUUUUUUAUGAUAGAAAUAUUACAGUAAACUCUGAAAAUUUAAAUGAUUUAAACCAUCUCUUUCACCAAUGAUAUACCGUUUCCUCAUCUUUCUUUAAAAUUCCAUUAGGUUCCUCCACCCCAAAAGUAUUCAUACUCAUCGGCUACCUCUCCCUUACUGGAAUUGUUGAUGCGCAGGGCCACUGCUGCAAAGCAUGCACCAAAGAGCGGGAGAGGCCAUGAAUAAGACACUCAUGGAGUACACCCCAAUAAAUCCACAUGCUUGAAUUCACAGUAUUUGAAUUUCAAAACUAUGCAAUUUUUUUUUUUUAGGUUAAUUUGUGGCAGAGAAAGAACUAUGACCGAGAUGUUCUUAUGCUGUGUCAGAGAGGGAUCUGAGGAUAAUCCUCAAAUCAAUGAUGCCCCCACCUCCACCCCUUGCUAAUGGCUCCAACUCUGGCUCAGGAGUGUUGUGGAAAUAUUUACGAGGACAGAUUAAGGCAUGUAAAAACAUUCACAUUCGUCAGAAAAAAAAUCCUCAUCUCUGGGAGCAGUCUAAGACAGCAAGGAAAGGCAUUAGCUAAAAGUGUAAGGAUAAACAUUUCUUUGAGAAAACUUGUCUACAAUAUGAAGAAACAUCAGUCAAUGAAUAGAGAGUACGGUUCAAACACAGUGGGUGGAGAAGCUCCAUUUCAGAGGAAAGUGACAAGGAUGGGAGCUCCAACACUGGCAGAGAGUCCAGCAGCUCUAAUCAAUCAACAGAAGGGAUAAAAUCUUUGAACAAACUAACGUAUGGGCUCCAAGACUUUCCAGGAAACAUUCUACCACUGGCUCUUCUGCCUCUCAGCGCAAAAAAGUUGCUUGGCCCCCCACCCUGGGAUCGCCAUCCCUCCAAAUGCUAGACAAGAGUUAGACAAGUGUCAGACCACUCCUGUUUUAUAGCAACCUUGUAAAAAUAAAUUAAAAUUUUAUCUUGUGGUUACAUAAAGGUGCAGGGAAAACAAUUUUUAAAGAAGUCUCAACGUUUUAUACAGAUAUAAAGAGUUGUCUAUCUAUCUAUAUAUAGAUACACACACAACUUAAAAACUCUCAGGACUUCUUUAUAUAUAAAUUUUCCUAAUGAGACACAAAAAAACAGAAUCAAUUUUUUCCUAUACUCUUGGGUUUUUCUAGAGGAUUGCAUGACAUAUUCAGCGCUAAAUAAACCAUAGUUACCAACAUUAUUAGUAUUAUCUGAUAGAACAAAGUCCUUCAACGAGAGUAACAGUAUUAGACACUAUUACUACAAUACAGGAAUUUUAGAAACUCUUCUACUACUAGAAUCUCAAAAGAAAGGAACUUUACCCUAAAUAACUCAUUUAAUACAUGAGGAAAAUGAGGUCAAAUUGACUUCCUUAAUGUCACAUUAUGAUGUAAAGGUCCUCUUUCAGCAAAAUAAUGGAUGAUGGAACUGAAAAAAUAAACUCAGAUUUUAUUUCACUGCUCAAAGGAAUAUGAAAUGUAAAUUAAACGCCCAAGGUAAGAAAGGUAGCAAGAUCAAUCACCCGACCACCAACACGCUUAGUCCACACGGAGAACUGCGCUAGCUGCUGUCUGCAAGACAUUUGUCACCCUGUCAUACAAGACCAGCACUGUUGAAAUAGAUCCUGAAAGAUUGUGUUAAUAAGUACUACAUUUUCAAGUAAACUCUAAGUAAAUUUCAAGUGAACUCUUCGAAGACAGAAUCUAGUUUUAUUACCUUUUACUUAACCAGGCACCCACUAAAUGUUGGUUAAUGGAAUAAAUACAACAUUAACAGGCUGGUCAAGUGUUCUAAGGAAACUGUUUUCCAUGUGCUUCUCUAGAACUUUUCAUUACCUAUCACCAAACGGAGUCAGCCUGGUGGGCUGGAACAGGCUGACUCUGGAGUUUAAAGCCGAGGUCCCCCUUUACUAGCUGUGUGAUCUUGGAAUGGCUAUUUGACUCUUCUAAAUUGCAAUUUCCUACUGUGGAUGACAGACAUGAGAAUUCAUGUGAAUCACAGUGAGAAUUCAACCAGAUAACGUCUAUGCAAAAUACUGCAUAAAACAGUAUUAAAAAUGUUAUCACCCGAAUAUUCUGAUUUUUUAAAAUAGAAUUGAGCUGGAAUUGGCCUUAGAAAUGAUCUGGUUUAGAAAGCCUAUCAUUAUUAUGAGGUUAUGAUUGUCCCACUGUAAGUUAUCUUUCUAAGUACAAAUCUGAUUAUUUAACAGAUUUCCCUAUGCCGCAAGAUAAAGUCAAAACUCCUUAGCAAGCCCUAGAUUCACAACCUGACCCCCAGUGGGAUACUGCUGCCCAUCUCUAGACACAAUGUCUUUGUCACUGCACUUUUCAAGCGGUGGUCUUCCCUCCUAGAUUGAGAGUUUUCAGACAGUCCACGCUCGUGCUCGUGUAAGGGGCGGGAGGGGCUGGUGACGGCCACGACCCGGUGGUGGUCGUGCCUCACUUUCUUCCUAACAAUCCUUACGCUGUGCCGUUAACGUUUAUGAAAACAGUCCGUGCAGGAACGUUGUAAACACCCAAAGCGUUUCCAGCCUUUGUGGCCAACUGGCGAACAACCCCAUUCAGCUUUUCGCCUCCCCGUUAGGAUCAGAAUUCGGCUGGCGACUUCCUAGGGUCUGCGACUCCGAGGACCCCUGCUAGGAGCACCCAGAGGCUGUUCUCCUAACCCGGAGGUGCGCACGCGCCUGGCACAGCAGGAAAACCUCGCUCCGUUAGAGGAGGCCUCAGAGGCGCCGGGCACCGCUCGGGCCGGUGGAGGCGGAGGCCGGCCGCCCGCCCCGCAGGCCUCCGGCUCCCGCCCGGCCCGGGCGCGUCCGUUUCUCCCGUACCGCCCUCGAGGUUCUUUACCGCGGGCGGGCGAAGGGGUGGAGUGAGGAGAGAUGGAGAGGGAGGAGGCGGGAUCGCCCGGGGGUUACCCGCUCGGGGAGCCGCUGGAAGUCCCAGGUGGCCUUCCCGGUCACACGCCGCCAGGCUCUCAGCCUGACGCGCGUCUCCCCUUCCUUCGGUUGACUCCUUCGGCUUUCCGUUUUCCACUUGGGGAGGGGUGGGACUUCCGGUUUCAUCUCCGAGGGACUUCUGCCAAGAGCUGAUGGACAAAAACAAGACGGCAUACGGUCCGCUGGCCACUCGGGGCAGGAAAAGGGAAUUCGAUGUGGGUUUUACUAGGCCAGUUCCGAGAUCCUGUUUUUCGGUCGUGGUGUCCAGUGCUCGGACCACGACAGAGUCGUCCGGGGAGCCGCCGGAAGUCGCUCAAAAGAGGCAGGAAGUCCCUCCCCUUCCUCCCAGAGGGAAGACGGUGAGCCGGAGGAGUCAGUCAGAGGGGCUAGCAGGAGCGAUUCCGUCGGCAAACAGGUUAUGAAUGCCAAGUGAGCCCCCCAUGACACAAGAAAGGUCAUUAGCACUUUAUUAAUGAUGGAUACUGAGAGGAAACCGGAGAAUGAUGAGGAUGAGAAAGUAAAAAAAGAAGCAAAAGACUUGGAAAAUAUUUCAUCCCCUGAUGUAGAUGGUGGGCCUAUAUCCGAUUUGGAAUCCUCCGAGAAUUCCACAAGCAAAAGAGGUCUUUCAGAAUCAUCAAACUUUGACAGUGUCGUUGUGGAGGAAGACGAAAUAAACAU